Molecule: long non-coding RNA, 3532 nt
Organism: Vespa mandarinia (Asian giant hornet)
Lineage: Eukaryota; Metazoa; Arthropoda; Insecta; Hymenoptera; Vespidae
Source: RefSeq, a predicted model, not a curated record
GAUGUGCUAACGUUCUCAUAAUCACUGGUAUAAAUUCGCCUCUUUGAUAAUUAAGACGUGACAUUAAGUUUUACGAGCUCUCACAGCAAAGUGCAACGUUAAGGAUUACGACUGGUAUAGCCAUCCUGAUAAAUCAUGUUUCACAUCUCUUGGAAAACUUUGAUCAUCCUAUCCUAUUACAUGAUAACAUUGAUCAUGUUUUUCAACCGUAAUAGAGAUGACAGCUACAUCCCGCUGAGAUUCUAAUCAAUUCUUUUGGAUUUGUAAGUGCUCGCCUUUGGACCACUCGAUGUUCAACUACUAAAUCAAGAAAGACAUGGAAUCGAAGAGCUAAGGAGACAUAUAGAAUCUUGUUUAACCUGAUGAUCGACUCACCAUGCAUCUACCUUCUACUGUCUAUAACGUCAAACUCGCGACGGGGUUGAUGUUUUCGAGAAGAGAAAUGAACGAAAAGAAAUACAAAAUUUAAAGCAUAUCCACAAGGCAUGGUAUAACUCCUUUCGAUUGAGGUGAUAUCGUUUCAAAGACCAUAAAUCCACGUCGUAGUUGUCGUUGUCGUCGUCGUAGUCGCGAAACUAAAGAAAGAAAGAAACGAAGCGACAAAGUCUUUGAAUAGACAUACGGCGCACGUAUCAUUGUAUGCAUAGUAGACAGCUGGGCAAUGAACGAAACAGGGAAACGUCCUUCAUAGUGGUCACUUCGCGUUACACUUGCCCGGUUUAGACGACUUAUGACGUGGAUUUACGAGGCACCUGGAGAGUGUAACCGAUCGCACGUAUAACUCCCUUGACAUUCCUUCGAGUUCCCUCGCUAUCAGGCAAAUCAAGCAACGCGUGCCUUCUCGUGAACAGUAUCUGGCUGAAGAAGGAGUCAAACUAUUAGUUGGAAAUUAGCUGGUUUGCUUUAAGAAUAGAUUAAUUAUUCCGGUCAUGGUUGACCUAAUCGUAUUCUAUAACAAUAAAACUAAUCAAAAUAUUAUAGUUUCUUUAUUUAUACAAAACUAAAUUAAUAGAGAAAUGGCUUUAUCUUAAAUAUUCAUCAAGAUAAGGGAUUAUAUGAAUAUCACAGAAUUAGUAUAACUUAAAUGGAUUUAAUAUUGGCGAUUAUUGGUAUUCUCAUCUUUCCUAUCCGAGUUAUUUGCUAAUGCGAAUCCAACUGACUCGAUUUUCUUUCCGAAGAGAACGUAUCGGUCUCUUCUUCUCCAUGACGUCCACCAGCAGGAUGAGGAUCGCGACGCGGAGGAAUGCUCGAAUCAUGCUCCCUAAUUCUUCGAUCGAACCGAACGAUCGAGAGUAAGAGAAGCCAAUGGCGUGCACAUGUACGAGAAAGACAAAGUCCUUGGCAAGCGACACAGAAGGCAUCCCGCGGAGCAGGUAGCUUCGGAGAGACUUUCUGUCAGCAUUCAACAUUAUCUAAGCCUUUAUCUACCUCUUCGUCUAUCUAACCACCCCACUUCCCCUUCUCAACUCUGCCUGCCAUCUUCUCCUCUGUCUCUCUGCGGCUUCUAGAAUGUCUGUAUACGUCGCGUGUAUAUAGCCGACCGUUUAUGUAAUAGCAGGUAGGCCUGCCCUAAACGUAAGGAUUCCACCUGUGGCAAAGGAUCUCCCUCGUAAAUUCACAUCGUGGGAGAGUACCUUCACCUUGCGUGGGGUCCAACGACUCGAUGAAUUUUAAUUACUCCAUCGUAGAAAUUUUGAAGAAAAUUCAAGUCUAAUGAAUAACGGUAAUAAGAAAUAUCGCGAGUAACUUGUUUUUAAAAUUGUUUCUAAAACUCAUUCUCGUGGGAGAGUGUAUGUCUCUUCUGUGAGGUCCACUCGGAAGACAAAGGUCAGUUUCGUUGUAGUAUGGACCGACAAAAUCUUUUGUUUGUCUCUUUGUGACGUACAAAAGAGAUUAAAAAAUAAAUAAUAGGUAGGUUUGAAUUGUCGCCAUUCGAUCUUUUAGUUAAAAUUCCUUGAAAUAUUUGGUGUCGAUAUUCUUAUCUAUUUUACUACUCGAUAUCUUUGUCAACGAGACAGUGGAAUGUAGUUUAGAUGAUCAAUGUCAUUGACGAUACGGCCUUCUGCUUACGAAAUAACUUUAGUUCAUCGUCGUUGCGUGCCAGAAGAAUUUUUAAAUCAAUCGAUAAGUAGGUGCGAUGGAUUCAAAGUAUCCAGUGAAUACUAAUUGUAUGUGUUCUCUCUUUCUCUCUCUCUCUCUCUCUCUCUCUCUCUCUCUCUCUCUCUCUCUUUCUCCAUCUCUUUCUCUUCGUCACAAAUUGGAUUAAGUUCUGUACAUAUUCAAGAAUCUUAUACAAUCGAUUCAAUAUCCAAUUAUCGUAUCAUUGAAAUUAAGUGAUAAAAGUUUUUUUACUUCUUAAGAUACUCUUAUUAUAAGUUUUCGAUGCUAAUUAUAAUAUUCCCACUUCAUUUCAUAUCUACUGUCAACAAUAUUCUACCAAUAAGAGUCAAUUAAUAAUAUCGAUUGGAAGUCUCACGAUAUCGUGAAAAGCGAAAGAUCGUUAGAGGAUCGUUAGAUUAGAGCGCGAAUCUUCCUUGAUGACGGCUCGAUUCGAUGGGGAAGCUCACCUCGUUGUGUUUUUGCUCUGCAUAAAUGAUGAGCCCGAGUAUUUUAAUGAAGACAUUCCAUGGCUGCUUGCCGGCUUCUUGGCGUACGAGAAAGAGAGAAAGAGAGAGAGAGAGAGAGAGAUAAAGUGAGAAAGAGAGAGAAGGAGAGACAGAAGCUCUGCGAAGCUUAGGUCGAAUAGAUAUGUUCUUGAUCAUCAGCUUUUGCCUCCUACUAUUAACGUAUUGUUAUCUUCAAUCAAUGGAAUAUACGAAGAUGGACGUCACAAAAAUAUUUUCACUAACCUUCUCUUUCUCUCUCCCUCUCUCUCUCUCUCUCUCUUUUUCUUACAGCUUUUUUCCCAAUUAACAUAGUACAAAUACGAAUGCAUACAUUCAAGUACCAAUUGCAUACAAAUACGAAUCGACAGACAGGCAAGACUUUCCAGUGCUUAGCCAUCUUCGUAUACUCGAUGAAGUCUUGACACCUUAAAGGCUCAAUCGACGCUUUAUCUCGAUUCCCUUUUCAAGAGUGAGCAUACUCGCUCGGUUAACCAUCGUAAAUUCAAUUCGAGUUAUUCGCAUAAGAACGAAAUCGUGAAUACUAUCGUGGUUUUCGAGGUGCCCACAAGAGAAACAACAUUCGUGUGCUUAGCUCGUCGAAUGGUUGAAAGGAUAAAACUAGCUUGGCAAAUAAAAUGGCGUGAACACGCUAAAGAAAAAGGUAAGAGUAAGUGAACAAAAGAGAUAGAUCGAGGGAAUGUUUUAACAUCAACCGAUUUACGGAUGCACGAAGCGUGUUUCGUUCGGUGACAAUGCUUAAAUGACUGCAACGAGCGCACGUGUUUCAAAGCGACAAGCACCGCAACAGAACGUUCCUAACUCGUAUCCAAGUCACGUCUCAUUUGCCGUAUUCAACGAUGUAUCGACGGGGAACUGCAAUACGCAGAGGGAGAAAAGCGAGUGAGCGAGAGAGAAAGAGAGAGAGA